Molecule: long non-coding RNA, 165 nt
Organism: Limulus polyphemus (Atlantic horseshoe crab)
Lineage: Eukaryota; Metazoa; Arthropoda; Merostomata; Xiphosura; Limulidae
Exons: 3
Source: RefSeq, a predicted model, not a curated record
UUCAUGGCAUGAGCACGCUUUACUGACGCCACAACAGUACAAAUUCCGACGUUAAGAGUGUCUUAUGUGACGUCAUUUUAGUGUCUACUGACUGACUGACAGUAAACACAUUACUGUAUAGUGGUGCGAGGUGUUAAAAAGGAUAUUCCCCGAAAGGGGUCCGAA